This 741-nucleotide long non-coding RNA is filed under the name Anas platyrhynchos platyrhynchos (common mallard). RNAcentral's name for it is "lncRNA (ENSAPLG00000027354.1)". The record is from RNAcentral. Lineage: Eukaryota; Metazoa; Chordata; Aves; Anseriformes; Anatidae.
AAUAAUACUUCUGUUGAGGUAUUACUGAGAUUUACUUUAAAAUGAUGCUAACACCUGAAAAAUGAACCCAUAUUUUCCUCAGAUCAUAGAUCAAUGAUAUUUAAAAAUUGGAAAUAAAUGUUGGGGAAUGCUCAGUUUUCAGAGAAGACACAUUUUUCAGGUUGAUUCAAAAUGUUUUCCCUGCCCUUCCCCUGCAGCAGCUCCAUCUCCGCCAACUGCCAUGUCCCGCGGGACUUUGCCUGUCGGGGUUGGAGUGCAGCAAACCCAGACCCCAGAAGGUCUUUCCUCCCUCUUACUGCAGCAAUGGAGCAGGAGGGUUUGUGGUGUGGCCGGGCGAUGCCCUGCAGCGGAGCCAGCCCCCAUCCUACGGUGUCCGUGCCCGUUUAGGCUCCCCUACAGGUGGCUUUGUCAGCUCUCCAAAUUGUGCAUGAAGAGGCAGGUUCCCAAUUGAUCUCUCAAUUAGAGCUCUGUUGAUACUGGAUAAAUGAGGGUUCACCUGGUUUGGACACAGCCUUGUCUGUUCACGAGCCAAGGCUUUCAAGUGAAAAGCAACACAUUUAAAAAAAAAAAAAAAUCCUUCUCUUUGGUGUUGCUUUUUUCCCUUGAUUACACAGGGCCAAACACGUGGACUGUUGAUUUGUGACUGAAGCCAUUAAUGCAUGAAUGCAAAAGCAAAGAUCGAGGCGCAUACCUAGAGCAAAUCAUGUCACAAGCUAGCACGCCAGUAAUCAGAUGUUACGU